AGGGUUUGAUCCUGGCUCAGAACGAACGCUCGCGGCGUAGAUUAGGUAUGCAAGUCGAACGGGAACUGUGCGAUGGAUCCUUCGGGUGAAGUUGUGCAGGGAACGUGGCGAAUGGGUGAGUAACAUGGAUUACCUGCCCUCGAGAUUGGGAUAAUCCACCGAAAGGUGGGGUAAUACCAAAUGACAUGGCAUUUCUUCGGGUUUGCCGUCAAAGGUGGCGUAAGCUACCGCUUGAGGAGGGGUUCAUCUCCUAUUAGCUAGUUGGUGAGGUAACGGCCCAUCAAGGCAUAGAUGGGUAGGGGGCCUGAGAGGGUGUUCCCCCACACCGGGACUGAGACACUGCCCGGGUUCCUACGGGAAGCUGCAAUCGAGAAUCCUCCGCAAUGGGCGAAAGCCUGACGGGGUGACGCCGCGUGGACGAUGAAGGCCUUUUUAGGUCGUAAAGUCCUAACAGGGAGUAGGAAACGUAUCCUGUUGAAUAAGCAGGGUAUUUGACUUAAAUCCCAAAUGAAGUCACGGCUAAAUCCGUGCCAGCAGCCGCGGUAAUACGGAUGUGGCUAGCGUUGUUCGGAAUCACUGGGCUUAAAGAGCACGUAGGCGGUGCGGCAAGUUGGUUGUGAAAUCCCCCGGCUCAACUGGGGAAUAGCAGCCAAUACUACCGCACUAGAGGUCGGGAGGGGAGAGCGGAAUUCUAGGUGUAGCGGUGGAAUGCGAAGAUAUCUAGGGGAAGGCCGGUAGCGAAAGCGGCUCUCUGGUCCGAUUCUGACGCUGAGGUGCGAAAGCGUAGGGAGCAAACGGGAUUAGAUACCCCGGUAGUCUACGCAGUAAACGAUGGGUACUAGGUGGUGGAAGCGCCGAUAGCUUUCUCCGCCGAAGCAAAAGCGUUAAGUACCCCGCCUGGGGAGUACGGCCGCAAGGUUAAAACUCAAAGGAAUUGACGGGGGCCCACACAAGCGGUGGAGGAUGCGGCUUAAUUCGAGACACGCGUAGAACCUUACCAAGGCUUGACAUGCAGGGAUUAUCCCAUCGAAAGGUGGGGGAUUGCCACACGGUGUAACCUGCACAGGUGCUGCAUGGCUGUCGACAGCUCGUGUCGUGAGAUGUUAGGUUAAGUCCUGUAACGAGCGAAACCCUUGUGUUUAGUUGCCAACGCGUUAUGGCGGGGACUCUAAACAGACUGCCCCGGCCAACGGGGAGGAAGGUGGGGAUGACGUCAAGUCAGCAUGGCCCUUAUGCCUUGGGCUGCACGCGUCCUACAAUGGGGUGUACAAAGAGUCCCGAAACCGCGAGGUCAAGGAAAUCUCUAAAAACACCCCCCAGUUCAGAUUGCAGGCUGCAACUCGUCUGCAUGAAGUUGGAAUCGCUAGUAAUCGCCGGUCAGCUACACGGCGGUGAAUACGUCCCUGGGCCUUGUACACACCGCCCGUCAAGCCACCCGAGUUGGGUGCACUCGAAGUCCGAGACCUAACCCGCAAGGGAGGGAUCGUCCGAAGGUGAACCCGAUGAGGUGGACUAAGUCGUAACAAGGUA
Molecule: ribosomal RNA, 1530 nt
Filed under: metagenome
Description: bacterial SSU rRNA
Rfam family: Bacterial small subunit ribosomal RNA
Source: RNAcentral